RNAcentral lists this unclassified non-coding RNA (253 nucleotides) under uncultured Solirubrobacteraceae bacterium. RNAcentral describes it as "contains 16S-23S intergenic spacer region". It matches the Rfam family "Bacterial small subunit ribosomal RNA", at positions 524 to 776 of the family's 1533-position model. The record is from RNAcentral. Lineage: Bacteria; Bacillati; Actinomycetota; Thermoleophilia; Solirubrobacterales; Solirubrobacteraceae.
UACGUAGGGGGCUAGCGUUGUCCGGAAUCAUUGGGCGUAAAGCGCGUGUAGGCGGCACGAUAAGUCCGCUCUGAAAGCCCGGGGCUCAACCCCGGGAGGCGGGUGGAUACUGUCGGGCUCGAGUCCGGAAGAGGCAAGUGGAAUUCCCGGUGUAGCGGUGAAAUGCGCAGAUAUCGGGAGGAACACCAAUGGCGAAGGCAGCUUGCUGGGACGGUACUGACGCUGAGACGCGAAAGCGUGGGGAACAAACAGG